CGCCAGACUCCUACGGGAGGCAGCAGUGGGGAAUAUUGCACAAUGGGGGAAACCCUGAUGCAGCGACGCCGCGUGAGUGAAGAAGUAUUUCGGUAUGUAAAGCUCUAUCAGCAGGGAAGAAAAUGACGGUACCUGACUAAGAAGCCCCGGCUAACUACGUGCCAGCAGCCGCGGUAAUACGUAGGGGGCAAGCGUUAUCCGGAUUUACUGGGUGUAAAGGGAGCGUAGACGGCAUGGCAAGUCAGAUGUGAAAGCCCGGGGCUCAACCCCGGGACUGCAUUUGAAACUGUCAGGCUGGAGUGCAGGAGAGGUAAGUGGAAUUCCUAGUGUAGCGGUGAAAUGCGUAGAUAUUAGGAGGAACACCAGUGGCGAAGGCGGCUUACUGGACUGUAACUGACGUUGAGGCUCGAAAGCGUGGGGAGCAAACAGGAUUAGAUACCCCUGUAGCC
RNAcentral lists this ribosomal RNA (449 nucleotides) under uncultured bacterium. Its description in RNAcentral is "bacterial SSU rRNA". It matches the Rfam family "Bacterial small subunit ribosomal RNA", at positions 329 to 795 of the family's 1533-position model. The record is from RNAcentral.